GUUUCUAUGUAUCUGCAUGUGUAUACCUGGCUGUGUAUCUGUAUGUGCCAGUGUGUUCAACUGUGUAUCUAUGUAUCUGCAUGUGUGCCAGUGUGUAUAUUUGAGUAUCUGUGUAGAUGUGCAUACAUCUCAGCAUUUCGCCAACACUACACACAAAUACACCCUUGCAUCCAAAUGCUCCAGGUGCACUAAGUGCAAAAGGGACAGUGCAUCCAAACCACGUCAAUGAGCUCAACUGGUCUGUGUGCAUAUAGUG
Non-coding RNA from Pelobates cultripes (western spadefoot toad), 256 nucleotides. NCBI's taxonomy places the organism in Eukaryota, Metazoa, Chordata, Amphibia, Anura, Pelobatidae. The record is from the annotation of a GenBank genome assembly.